GUGUAUAAGAGACAGCUUGGUCAUUUAGACGGACAUCACCUGCAGGGCCUUCAACGCCGCGACGCUCGCCCUGGUGAGCUCCAUGGUCUGCUCGACGAAGUAAUUCUUCACGCCGCCGACUCGUGCGGCCGCGAAGGUUUUGACCCAGUCGAUGCUGCCUUUACCGACCGGCACCUGCACGCCAGGACCGCCUCGCGCUGACGUCGCAUUCAGGUCCACGUCCUGUACAU
RNAcentral lists this unclassified non-coding RNA (230 nucleotides) under fungal sp. RNAcentral's name for it is "partial internal transcribed spacer region". The record is from RNAcentral. Lineage: Eukaryota; Fungi.